UAGGGUUAAAUCAAUGUGGGGCGUACAUUUUGAAAAUGGAACCCACAAAAAGUGGUGGGACAUACAUUGGUUUCAGCCAA
Molecule: microRNA precursor, 80 nt
Filed under: Medicago truncatula (barrel medic)
Lineage: Eukaryota; Viridiplantae; Streptophyta; Magnoliopsida; Fabales; Fabaceae
Description: MIR5269 microRNA precursor family
Rfam family: MIR5269 microRNA precursor family
Source: Rfam by way of RNAcentral